Molecule: long non-coding RNA, 1365 nt
Organism: Gigantopelta aegis
Lineage: Eukaryota; Metazoa; Mollusca; Gastropoda; Neomphalida; Peltospiridae
Exons: 2
Source: RefSeq, a predicted model, not a curated record
GGCGUACCCGUUAACACGUUUGUAACAUCCUCUCCCAGCAGACGACACAGAAUCGCCAUGAAAACUGUAAUUCUUUUAGUGGGAAUUCUACAGGUCCUUUAUCCUCUCGCUUCAACGGCCAUAUUCCCGGAAGAUCUCACCUACAGUCAGUGGCAGUUGGAGAAGCGGAACGGCGAUACCGGAAGUGACCACCUACCUUCAGUUUCAAAACGAUCAUGUGGGUGUUGCGUGCAAACCAGAGGCGCCAAUGCGUUCUGCUGUACUUUAUGUUUCAUGGAUUCGAAACGGUCUGGACCUCCACAAACCGACGAUACAUAUGACAGUGCUUCAGAAAAGAGCAAUGGCGAUAUUGAAGUCGGGAAGCGCUUGACCGCCAGCUGUUUUUGUUGCAACACUUCCGGAAGAAAGUCCUGCUGCUCAAAAUGUCGACAGUUCUUUUAAUAACCAGACGCUUGCUUACGUUUACGUGAACUUUAAAAGAUGGUGUGGCAAAUGAAAUAAAUGGGUUCUUAUGAUAAUUAUAAAGAGUUCAGCUCAAAUCAGUUGGAAUUGUGUCCUAUGUCUGUCUGUCUGCUUCAAUGACUGUCCCACAGGCUGUAACCGUCCAGUUUUAUUGAACUGUUUAAAUUGAUUUAUAAUGCAUCUCCUGCGGCAUCGUUUUCAGACAAACGCUGUGUACUUCGGACUUGUAACUCUGUUAAUCCAAUGCAUUGCUUACUCUUAUACAAAAAAAUAUAUAUUGAAAUGCUGUUAGCAUCAUGUACAAUCAGUCAAUCACCAUGCUUAUUCAAACACUUAUAGUUAAUACUCGUUAUCGCAGUGUAGAACAAUCAAUAUGCGGAAGAAUGGGUCCUUGUACAAAUUUCUAACUAUUUUAACUGGAAAAAAAACCCCACACUAAAUGUUUUUCUCCAUCUGGAAAUGCCAAAAAUCUACUAGUAUUUUAUUUUCCUUAAAAAUAUAUAAAAUUAAAUUUCAAGUUUUGUUUGUUUUAGAAUUUUAGUAAAACUAAAAUUAUAUUUCAUCUUCAAAACUAUAUGAACAAUAUAGGGAUAUGCAUUGCAAGGCUGGUGUGAUGGUUAGACCUCAAGUUUUGGUUUUAAAAAUGUAAUUACAGAUUGUUAUAUUCCACGGUGAUUAUAUCCUUUCUUCAUUUGUACAUUUGGCUAUGGACUCCACCAUGAUCCAGCCCUUAGGCACAUCAAACGUAAAUAAUUUCGAUCCUUCUGCAUAUACAAUGUAGAGCACACUUAUUCGUGUACACAUUAGCAACAUAUUAGUUAACCAGACAAAGACGCCAGCUUGUGUUUCAUUUGCAUUUAUUGUCACGUAACAUGUAACACGGAAAUAAAGGUUUGGUUAAAA